This 3369-nucleotide long non-coding RNA is filed under the name Triticum aestivum (bread wheat). RNAcentral's name for it is "long non-coding RNA (TAES_LNC001580)". The record is from RNAcentral. Lineage: Eukaryota; Viridiplantae; Streptophyta; Magnoliopsida; Poales; Poaceae.
AAAUGUAUAUCUCAAUGCAAACAUUAGUCCAUUAGGGUUGUCAUUUAAUUAUCAAAACCACACAUGGGGACUACUUGUACUUUUAGUCGACCCAUCCCGCCGCCAUAGGGUAGUAAGACAAUCGAGACGACACGCCACACCACACAAGCGAGAGUGCCACCGGAGCUUCGAAGACCGCCGCGCACGCCCCGCCGUUGUGUCCACACUGAUGCCGCACUCGCAUGCGAGAGCACUAAUCGCGUCGGGACCGAGGCCCGCCCCCGCCAGCUGCUGCCGGGGCUUUGCCCGACGACGUGUGCUGACGGAGGCACGGGAGGAAGGGAAUAGAGGGGCGGGGGAGGUGGCGGCUAUGUUUUCUCUGUGCAGAGCCGUCACUGUGGAGUGACGCGGGGGUAAGGGGCCUUUUCACACCGUAGAAAGUCCCCAACAAUAAGUUUAGUCGGAGCAUUUACAACACGACCCAAGUAAGCCUCACCUGUGGGUAUCUAGUUGCUUUUACAAAACUUCUCUCGUGUAUCAUCAACCCAUCACCAUUUAUACAUUCUCAACAUUUCUGAUUCCAAAGUGAGAGCAAUACCCCUACUACCUUAUGAAAUUUCCCCUAAAUAAUACUCUUCUCAUCCACCUGCCUGCACGUAUAAGAGCAAGUAUAAUAGGGUGACAUAAGCAGACUAUAAUGAAUAGAAUAAUAUAUCUUUGCUUUGUUGGAGGAGAGAGAAGAGAAGCGAGCUCUUGGUUAGUAGCCAGCUGCAACACAAGACCCAAGACGCUUUGUGAGGAUGUAAGGUGGGCCAACUAUUGAUAAACUAGUUCAUAUUUAAAACUUACUAUUGUACAUGCUGGCUAAGAGGUUGGCUGUAGACAGUGGCGAACCUAGCUCACUGGGCCAGGGUGGGCCAACAGUGCAAUUGUACAUAUAAUUUUAUUUUUUCUAUUUAUUUUUAGCAUUUUUUCUAUGGUAUAAAGCCCAUUUUCCAAUCUCAAGGUGGGCCGUGACCCACACUGUCCAUCCUAUACCUUCGCCCCUGGCUGUAGAUGACAUAGCAAGUUCUUAUUACUAACAAUGCUUUGGUAUAUAUUAUUCUGCUUUCGAUAAAAAUAUGGUAUGUCAUUGACAUACUCUCAAAAAAAAACUAACAAUGUUCUAAGCCCACAGGCGAGUCUUGAUUCUUGCGGUCAGCAUUCAGCAGCAAUCGUGGACUGAAGACCUCCUCAUUUGUCCACGUAAGCAAUGCAUCGCCACUUCCCCACACACAACACGCCACGUAUGCCCGAAGGGUAUAACUGUAAAUUCGUAUGCAACGAGGCGUGACGAAGCAUCUAAACGCGCAGACGGAUUUGGGUGGUGGAGAAAGGGGAACGGGGAAAGGGAUCUCGCCGCAACGCACCAUGGAGCUCGCCGCAACCAGCGCUGCUGCCCUCCGGCGAUCGUUGGCGUCGGGGUAUCCGGUGGUCCCGAGGGAGAGGAGGAGUGGGAUGCCGGCUAGGGUGUCCUGCGUCGGCCGCGGAGGCAGAGGCGUAGGCGGGGGAUUCGCCGACGAGGCGCACCUCAGGUACUACGAGGCGCCGCGGAAGGCGGUGGAGGCGGCGGCGAGGGAUCUUACCAAGCUCCGGGCCAUGGGCCUUGUCGCCGGCGACCCAGCCAAGGAGAAGAUCCUCUCGGUGAACCCUCUGCCUCCCUCCUCAUCAUAUGUCGAUUUUGUGGUUCUGUUCUCCAUUUAUGCUUCAGAUUAGGGUUGACAAGUUUCGAUGCUCGAAGGAGCGCUUACGUAAUUGCAGUGGUUUAUUGCGAUUAAUUGUUGCGGAAGGAUUUGAAUGAUGUUGACGCAAUGUUUGAUUUGGCCUCAAACAUAAACACUACUCAUUUCCCCCUGCAGCUAAACAUAAAGAUUUAGAUUUCUUCUAUUUCUUGGUAAUUCUGGAAAACUGCUUGGACAUUUUAGCACCAUGCUUUGAUUGAAACAUGAAUUUGGUGGUAAAAUUAGCUGGCUGGUUUUGUAGUGUACUUUUUGUACGAAUUAUGAUAAAGUUGAGCUCUGGUUUGUGGGGAACUAUUUAUACAGGAAGCCACUGAGCUGCUGCUACAGGAGUUGAAUCAGAUGAAGGAUGCAGAGGACGAGCUGAAGAAGAAGCAGAAAGAGGAGAAGGCUGCGAUGAAAGCACUGAAGAAGCAGCAGAAGGAAGCCAAGAAGGCUGCGAUGAACUGUGGAGAUGGCUCCUCUGAAUCGAGCGAGAGUGAGUGCGAGGAAGGGCAAUCCAUGAAAAUGAGGUGUGUUGCCACCACAUCGGUGCCUGCAGUUGAGCAAGGAAUGGUGAUGUCAAUGUCGGUGCCCCAAAUUGCUGCAUCCAACAUCGCAACAGCUCCGGCAAUGGAUUUUGACAAGGCUGCGAUGAAGGCCAUGAAGAAGAGGGAGAAGGAACAAAAGAAAGCUGCAAAGAAGGCCAUGAAGAUGAAAAAGGAGGAAGAGAAGAGGAUGGCCACACUGAAUUCCUGCAAGGAUGAAGACAGCUCAUGCUCAUCGGAGUCCAGCAACAGUGAGUGUGAAGGGGAAGUCGUCAGAAUGAGCUGCUGUGCCACCAUUUCUGCGCCUCGAACACCACCUGCAAGCACAGUUUUCCCCAUCAUAGUGCCUCAAAUCCCAGACUCCGUUGCACUGGAUGCUCAGAUCUUUUCCGGGUCUGCAAAUGCAAUGCAGUGCACUGCCACCAGCAUUGCGGUUGUCGAAAAACCAGUGCUGAACAGAAUCGAGGUCUGCAUGGGCGGCAAAUGCAAGAAGGCGGGCUCGCUCGCUGUCCUGCAGGAGUUCGAGACGGAGGUCGGCACGGGCGGCAUGGUGGUCGGUUGCAAAUGUUUGGGGAAAUGCAGGCUAGGCCCAAAUGUGCGGCUUCGGAGUGAGGGCUCUGUACAGAAGAACAGUCCCAUCUGCAUUGGUGUAGGCUUGGAUGAUGUUGGCACCAUCGUGGCAGGCUUCAUCGGAGAUGGUGACGUGGGCAUGAACUGAUACGAUGGUUACCUGGACCUGGUUCAGGUUGGUAUUUACAGACCUGUACUCCUACAACUUGUUUUGUCUGGCAAAUGUACUACUACAACUUUGCUGCACAAUAAUACAUUGUAGAUAAUCACGCCCCUGACGAGCUGAUGUAUGUUCUGAGCUUAAUGAGCUGUUGUUUACUAUAUAUACUCCCUGUUUCAUCCAGGAACCGCGAGGUUGUCGGUUCUUAGGUUUCUUUUAGUUGUGGUUCUGCCGCUCCUCUGCUUAUGCUUGGUGGCACGCUCGCGGCGUCCAACAGAGCAUUUCUGAUGUUAUGUUGGCCUUGUUUGUCGUGCGUUGUCUUGUUUUUUAUUUGAUCAGUUUGCAUGAGGAUUUC